Astyanax mexicanus (Mexican tetra) is the source of this 1364-nucleotide long non-coding RNA. RefSeq lists it as uncharacterized. NCBI's taxonomy places the organism in Eukaryota, Metazoa, Chordata, Actinopteri, Characiformes, Acestrorhamphidae. The record is from RefSeq and is a predicted model, not a curated record. The transcript has 2 exons.
CUAGGUGGUUGCUAAGGUGUUGCUAUGGUAUCCAGGGUGGUUGCUAAGGUGUUGCUAGGUGGUUGCUAAGGUGUUGCUAUGGUAUCCGGGGUGGUUGCUAAGGUGUUGCUAGGUGGUUGCUAAGGUGUUGCUAGGCGGUUGCUAAGGUGUUGCUAUGGUGUCUUGGGUGGUUGCUAAGAUGUUGCUAUGGUAUCUGGGGUGGUUGCUAAGGUGUUGCUAGGUGUAUCUAACUGGUCGCUAGGCAGUUGCUACCAUUUCUAAAGUGGUUGCUAAGCAGUUGCUAGGCAGUUGCUAACGUUUUCCAGGUGGUUGCUAAGGUGUUGCUAUCUGGUUGCUAGGCAGUUGCUAACGUAUUACACAUGGUUGCUAAGUGGUUGCUAGGCAGUUGCUAAUGUUUUCCUAGUGGUUGCUAAGGUGUAUCUAACUGGUUCCUAGGCAGUAGUAGAUAAAAAGAAAGAGUGUUAAAUGUAGAAGUACAGAAAAAGGGAGAGCCUGAAAUAGAGAAGUAGAGAGAAAAUCAGCGUGAGAAGUAGAGAAAGAACACCCGAGAAUGUGAGAAAAAGAGUGACAAGUAGAGAGAAAUAUUGAGCAAGAGAAAGAGAAUUAGGGAAAAAGAGAGAUCGAGAAAUAAAGAAGUAGAGAAAGAAAAAGGAUGUAGUAGAGAGAUAGAUAGAAAGAGAAAGCAAGACAGAAAAGUAGAGUGAAAGAGAAGUAGAGAGAAGAGCGAGAAAUAAAGAGAGAAUAAGAGAGAAAUAGAGAAAUAGAAAAGUAGAAAGAAAGAGACAUAGAAAAGUAGAGAGAGUGAGAAAGAGAGAGUGAGAAAUAGAGAAGUAGAGAGAGAGUGAGAAAGAGAGAGUGAGAAAUAGAGAAGUAGAGAGAGUGAGAAAUAGAGACGUAGAGAGAGAGUGAGAAAGAGAGUGAGAAAUAUAGAAGUAGAGAGAGUGAGAAAUAAAGAGAAAUAGAGACGUAGAGAGAGAGUGAAAAAGAGAGUGAGAAAUAUAGAAGUAGAGAGAGUGAGAAAUAUAGAAGUAGAGAGAGAGUGAGAAAGAGUGAGAAAUAGAGAAGUAGAGAGAGUGAGAAAUAGAGACGUAGAAAAGAGUGAGAAAGAGAGAGUGAGAAAUAGAGAAGUAGAGAGAGAGUGAGAAAUAAAGAGAAAUAGAGACAUAGAGAGAGAGUGAAAAAGAGAGUGAGAAAUAUAGAAGUAGAGAGAGUGAGAAAUAUAGAAGUAGAGAGAGAGAGUGAGAAAUAGAGACGUAGAGAGAGAGUGAGAAAUAGAGACGUAGAGAGAGAGUGAGAAAGAGUGAGAAAUAGAGAAGUAGAGAGAGUGAGAAAUAGAGACGUAGAAAAGAGUGAGAAAGAGAGAG